Molecule: non-coding RNA, 962 nt
Organism: Miniopterus natalensis
Lineage: Eukaryota; Metazoa; Chordata; Mammalia; Chiroptera; Miniopteridae
Source: RefSeq, a predicted model, not a curated record
CACCCAGCAGCCCAGGCAGGGAUGGAGGCAGCAGUGACAUACGGGGAGCAGCCGACCCGUUGUGGCUGCACCGAGCGGAUACUCGAUGAACACUCUCUCCUCUUUUGAGGGCUCUCUGAGGUCGGCGUCUGCAUGUGUCAAAAGCCUCUUGCCUCCUGAUACGCUUGGAAACCAGGGGAUCGUUAUUGAAACUGCGAAGCCGACGGGGUCGUCCCCUGCUGGCUCCUGCUUUCUGGCCAGGCCCACCUGGCUACCUUCUGCCUGGGCAGAGCCAAGCUGUCUGGAACUACUGUCUGGGAGAAGCCUCUUUCCCAUCCCAGCCAGUGUACCCAGCAAUCAGGAGCCAUUGCCCGACCCAGGGCUGCCUGGAUAAACAUUUAUAAGCUCCGGAGGGAUCAUUAGCGGAGGGCAGAGAUGUCUCUAUUUGAACCUCCGACAGUUACCCUAAGUCCAAAUCUGAGCUCACUCAUUGCCCCUUAACUCAUAGGAAUUCAAAUGAUGCAUUGGGAAGGAGAGAACAAUUUAAAUCAGAGGUCCUCAACCUUGUCUGCACCUACUCACCAAGGAACUUUAAUAAUCCAGAUGUCCAGGCUGCAGUCCAGAGGGUUAAAUCAGAAACUGUGGGGGUAGGGCCCACACAUCUGUAUUUUUAAAGCUCCCCAGGUGACUCUGAUAUACAGUCUAGGUUGAGAACCUCUGACUUAAAUGGCGUGUGGGGUUCCUGCCAGCCAUUCUACCUGUGACUGAAGGCCCUGGAGAUGGAAGAUAUGACUCUGUAUUCUCAUGGGGGCCUGGUUCCUUGUGUUUCUCCUAUGAUGAGUAUAUCUCCAUUGCCAAAUGUGGUUCUGGAGUUUAAAGAUUAGAUACAACAAAGCACUGGAACUUCAUUUAAUUCAACCAGAGCAACUGGACUUGAUGGGUAAUCUAAGGGAUUUUUCAAAUAGAAUAUUGACUAAAUAAAU